Long non-coding RNA from Carassius gibelio (silver crucian carp), 2078 nucleotides. RefSeq lists it as uncharacterized. The record is from RefSeq and is a predicted model, not a curated record. Lineage: Eukaryota; Metazoa; Chordata; Actinopteri; Cypriniformes; Cyprinidae. The transcript is spliced from 3 exons.
AACGGGCGAACCAUCUAACUGUCAGUGUGGGACUCUGCUGAAUGCCUGAUUAAGGUGGCAGUCAAAAACAGCACAAAUAUGGGAAAACAAAGGCAUGUCCACAAGGGCUGAGUUUCCCGAAGCAUAAGCAGAAGAAACAGAACGAAAGCAGAAGUAGAACGUCAGGUGCACAUACUCAAAGACGGGCAGCAAUGAGAUAUCUGCAGGCAUUUGGUGGAAAAAACACAUGGUUCGAUUAUGCUAAUUGAUACACACACACCUACACCCAUAGAAUGAAAAAAAAAAAAACAGUACCUGCAUCUCUGUUUACACGUCACCCUCUUGUACUGUACAUUGAGUGCCCCUCCAUCAGUUCUAUCUGUCUGCAAGGGAAAAUAUUCAUUCCUAAACACAAAUUCCUCUACACUUCUUUAAACAUCAGCUUUUGAUAAAUAUAGGCAGAGCUUUUAUUGAAAAUCUGUGAAACAGCAUGUUUUCAAAAGUGAAAGCGGACCGAUUACAGACAGCUGUGGCACUCCAAAUGAGCCUCUCCACCCCAUGCUUAGGACAGCAGUUAGUGAGGGACUUCCUGCAUGGAAAGCUGUGUAUGUUUUCCUUCAGUGAACUGAACAUCCUGCAGAUCUUAAAUUCCAGUCAGCAGUAAACUCCCUGACCUCUGAGCACAAAAUUAGGCACAUCAUACAAGCAAAAGACAAGAGGGAAAGGAAGGACUUCAAAACAGAGACAGGGAGAAUGAGAGAUAAUUCAAACUUACACAUCUUCUGUGUUGCAUUUCUCAUAACUAUACAUUGUAUGAAAAGGAAACUAGAGUGCAUGAUUAAUUAUAGGCUAUAUAAGCAAAACAAUUUUUUUUUCAACAGCAGAACAUUUUAUGAUAGUCAUAGUUUGUAAAGUAUACAACCUAUUUCUAGCUAUUUUUCCAAACCUGACCAUAUGUUAUUUUGUAUUUAGGUUAAUUCAAAUUAAUUUGUCAAAUUACAAAAUGUUUUUUGCCUAAAUAAAACCAGUUCCUUUAUUACAACAUGGAACACAUUUGUUUUGUUACAUGAUGACAAAAGUUUUUGCACUAUAUCUAAUCACAGGAAAAUGUGGGACAAUUAACAAAGCAACCCAUAUAAAUAGAUCUAGUCAUUGUAUUGUAAUGCUCAUAAACUUCCAGACUCUUUUUACAUAUAUGUGAGAUCCAUUUGUUUAUUAUGACACAUAUAUGCAAUAAAAGGGAUGAUCUUGUACUGUAUAAUACCCUUCUAUGUCUAAUAACACAGUGAUGUAAACAGCCAUGAAAGUGUCAGAUUUCAUCUGCUUUUACAUGGACAGGGUUGUCAGUUACAACAUAAGCGGUGAACCCUCACUGCCAAUGUGUUUAUUGAGCUAUUAUCAAUUGACUGAUGAAACAAACUACUCACCAGUCAACAUAUGUUCUUGAUUUGCUGGAUUUAUUUGAUUUUAAACCAUAUGUUUUCUGUUUUGAAAUGAUUAUGGAGGUUUGCAACGGAGCAUUCUGUGCUGAUCACAAACAUUAGAGUUUUGGUGAAACAAUAUGAUUUUUACUUUUGUUUAUUUUGAGUUUCAAGAGCAGUGGUGAAUUUUCCUGGGGCGACGAGAGGCAUUUUAAUCCAUGUAUUUCUUUUUUCAUAAGGUACAUUUUCCUAUUUAAUAAAAGAUACUGCUUCAUAUAACCAAGAUGGAAAUAAAAUAUGUGCCUUCUGCCUUCCUCAUACCACAGUCACAAAAUACAUUCACUGGCUAUAUAUUUAAUGCUUUUGACACUCUUCCUCUUGUCCUGAAAUACUCCCAUAUUUCCAGUCGUCUAUCAGAAAAAGCUUAAAGGUAAGUGGAGUUCCCUCAUUACCUUGUAGGGCUGUUUCUGCCUUAAGUUAGCAGGUGCACAGCAAUUGAUAAAUCCGAAAAUGCCAUACAAUAAUGUAAUGUAUAAUGUACAAUUCCUCUAUGUAUUUUUGAUGUAUAGAAUGUAAAAUGUUAAUGUUCUGACCUGUGUUGACAUUUGACAUAUCUGAAUGCCUCUAAAUAAACUAUUUUGGAAUAUGUGCAUAUUAAAAUUUUUCUUUUGUUUCUCA